Molecule: transfer RNA, 76 nt
Filed under: Curtobacterium sp. SORGH_AS_0776
Lineage: Bacteria; Bacillati; Actinomycetota; Actinomycetes; Micrococcales; Microbacteriaceae
Description: tRNA-Arg
Source: RNAcentral
CGCUUGUCCAGCCAGUUCAGCAUACUUCUUCUGACUACGGAUCAGAAGGUUGGGGGUUCGAGUCCCUUCGAGCGCA